This 467-nucleotide ribosomal RNA is filed under the name uncultured bacterium. RNAcentral's name for it is "bacterial SSU rRNA". It matches the Rfam family "Bacterial small subunit ribosomal RNA", at positions 28 to 495 of the family's 1533-position model. The record is from RNAcentral.
GAUGAACGCUGGCGGCGUGCUUAACACAUGCAAGUCGAACGAAGCACUUAUCUUUGAUUCUUCGGAUGAAGAGAUUUGUGACUGAGUGGCGGACGGGUGAGUAACGCGUGGGUAACCUGCCUCAUACAGGGGGAUAACAGUUAGAAAUGACUGCUAAUACCGCAUAAGACCACAGAGCCGCAUGGCUCGGUGGGAAAAACUCCGGUGGUAUGAGAUGGACCCGCGUCUGAUUAGGUAGUUGGUGGGGUAACGGCCUACCAAGCCAACGAUCAGUAGCCGACCUGAGAGGGUGACCGGCCACAUUGGGACUGAGACACGGCCCAAACUCCUACGGGAGGCAGCAGUGGGGAAUAUUGCACAAUGGGGGAAACCCUGAUGCAGCGACGCCGCGUGAGCGAAGAAGUAUUUCGGUAUGUAAAGCUCUAUCAGCAGGGAAGAAAAUGACGGUACCUGACUAAGAAGCACCG